RNAcentral lists this ribosomal RNA (421 nucleotides) under uncultured Glomeraceae. RNAcentral's name for it is "SSU rRNA". It matches the Rfam family "Eukaryotic small subunit ribosomal RNA", at positions 459 to 886 of the family's 1831-position model. The record is from RNAcentral. Lineage: Eukaryota; Fungi; Glomeromycota; Glomeromycetes; Glomerales; Glomeraceae.
GGGAGGUAGUGACAAUAAAUAACAAUACAGGGUUCUUUCGGAUCUUGUAAUUGGAAUGAGUACAAUUUAAAUCUCUUAACGAGGAACAAUUGGAGGGCAAGUCUGGUGCCAGCAGCCGCGGUAAUUCCAGCUCCAAUAGCGUAUAUUAAAGUUGCUGCAGUUAAAAAGCUCGUAGUUGAAUUUCGGGACCAAUAUGUCGGUCGUGCUUUUGUACGUACUGAUAUAAUUGGUUUCUCCCUUCUGAAGAACCUUGAUGUCAUUAAUUUGGUGUCUUGGGGAAUCAGGACUGUUACUUUGAAAAAUUAGAGUGUUUAAAGCAGGCUCGCGCUUGAAUACAUUAGCAUGGAAUAAUGAAAUAGGACGUUUGAUUCUAUUUUGUUGGUUUCUAGGAUCGACGUAAUGAUUAAUAGGGAUAGUUGGG